GAGCUUGCUUCUCUUGAGAGUGGCGCACGGGUGCGUAACACGUAUGUAACCUACCAUUGUCAGGGGGAUAGCCUCUCGAAAGAGAGAUUAACACCGCAUAACAUUAUUGAGCAGCAUUGCUUAAUAAUCAAAUAUUUAUAGGACAAUGAUGGGCAUGCGGGACAUUAGCUAGAUGGUGAGGUAACGGCUCACCAUGGCGACGAUGUCUAGGGGAUCUGAGAGGAUGACCCCCCACACUGGUACUGAGACACGGACCAGACUCCUACGGGAGGCAGCAGUAAGGAAUAUUGGUCAAUGGAGGCAACUCUGAACCAGCCAUGCCGCGUGCAGGAAGACGGCCCUACGGGUUGUAAACUGCUUUUGUACCGGAAUAAACCUUUUCACGUGUGAGAAGCUGAAUGUACGGUAAGAAUAAGGAUCGGCUAACUCCGUGCCAGCAGCCGCGGUAAUACGGAGGAUCCAAGCGUUAUCCGGAUUUAUUGGGUUUAAAGGGUGCGUAGGCGGCUUAUUAAGUCAGGGGUGAAAGGCGGUAGCUUAACUAUCGGAGUGCCCUUGAUACUGAUGAGCUUGAAUGCAGCUGAGGUAGGCGGAAUGUGACAAGUAGCGGUGAAAUGCAUAGAUAUGUCACAGAACACCGAUUGCGAAGGCAGCUUACUAAAGUGCGAUUGACGCUGAGGCACGAAAGCGUGGGGAUCAAACAGGAUUAGAUACCCUGGUAGUCCACGCCCUAAACGAUGAAUACUCGAUGUUGGCGAUAUACGGUCAGCGUCUAAGCGAAAGCGUUAAGUAUUCCACCUGGGGAGUACGCCCGCAAGGGUGAAACUCAAAGGAAUUGACGGGGGCCCGCACAAGCGGAGGAGCAUGUGGUUUAAUUCGAUGAUACGCGAGGAACCUUACCCGGGCUUGAAAGUUAGUGAAUGAUACAGAGACGUAUCAGUCCUUCGGGACACGAAACUAGGUGCUGCAUGGCUGUCGU
Molecule: ribosomal RNA, 976 nt
Filed under: Mucilaginibacter jinjuensis
Lineage: Bacteria; Pseudomonadati; Bacteroidota; Sphingobacteriia; Sphingobacteriales; Sphingobacteriaceae
Description: bacterial SSU rRNA
Rfam family: Bacterial small subunit ribosomal RNA
Source: RNAcentral